GCAGUCGAGCGAGCGGACCAACAGAUUUACUUCGGUAAUGACGUUGGGAAAGCGAGCGGCGGAUGGGUGAGUAACACGUGGGGAACCUGCCCCUAAGUCUGGGAUACCAUUUGGAAACAGGUGCUAAUACCGGAUAAUAAAGCGGAUCGCAUGAUCAGCUUUUGAAAGGCGGCGUAAGCUGUCGCUAAGGGAUGGCCCCGCGGUGCAUUAGCUAGUUGGUAAGGUAACGGCUUACCAAGGCGACGAUGCAUAGCCGAGUUGAGAGACUGAUCGGCCACAUUGGGACUGAGACACGGCCCAAACUCCUACGGGAGGCAGCAGUAGGGAAUCUUCCACAAUGGACGCAAGUCUGAUGGAGCAACGCCGCGUGAGUGAAGAAGGUUUUCGGAUCGUAAAGCUCUGUUGUUGGUGAAGAAGGAUAGAGGUAGUAACUGGCCUUUAUUUGACGGUAAUCAACCAGAAAGUCACGGCUAACUACGUGCCAGCAGCCGCGGUAAUACGUAGGUGGCAAGCGUUGUCCGGAUUUAUUGGGCGUAAAGCGAGCGCAGGCGGAAAAAUAAGUCUAAUGUGAAAGCCCUCGGCUUAACCGAGGAACUGCAUCGGAAACUGUUUUUCUUGAGUGCAGAAGAGGAGAGUGGAACUCCAUGUGUAGCGG
This 655-nucleotide ribosomal RNA is filed under the name Lactobacillus sp. JCM 8616. RNAcentral's name for it is "bacterial SSU rRNA". It matches the Rfam family "Bacterial small subunit ribosomal RNA", at positions 57 to 681 of the family's 1533-position model. The record is from RNAcentral. Lineage: Bacteria; Bacillati; Bacillota; Bacilli; Lactobacillales; Lactobacillaceae.